AAGAGUCAUUUAAGAAUCACACACGGUUGGUAUGGGGGGAAUUAUUUCACUGUGGUAAAUUUACUGACACAUUUUUCCUCGAAUACAUGUGCAUGGCAAUUGAUAACUAUGUUUUGCUUUUCAGUAGGAACAGGCGACUCCAAUGCGAGACGGUCCAGAUCGGCAACGACACCCAGUAGAAACGGCGUUGUGGGGGUUUUACGACAUUGUUAGAUAAGCCAGGAGGUGGCCUGGGGUUGAUUAGCAUCACCAAAGGCUAUGUGAAGGGAUGCUUUUACACCUACCUCAACAUGAGGGACUGGGGGAGAACAGAAUACAACUAGAGUAUCUGCCGAUUUGGGAACAUUAUUGCAUGCAGAGAAAAACACAACCAUAAGAUUCCAACCAACAGAGAUGUGUAGAUGACAUAAAUUUAAGGUGUUAAGAAGAACAUACAGUCGUUCUAUCAAUGAAACAACUCACAAAUUGAUUAGAAUGUUUUUAGGAAAACACUAGAUGUUAGAGUUUAGCUACUCAAGUGGCAUUUUUGGGAUAACAGCAGACGAUGGCCAACGCAGGAAGAUCCACCCUGAACUUUUCUUCCUAGAACGAAUGUCCGAUUGGGGAAUCUUGUCCUAAUGGGACCUCCGGUUAGCAGAGCAGUCUGCUCACAGGAACUGAGGUGAUCCGAGGUCCAAGGAGGGAGCGUGAAGCUUAAUCACACGUCUAGGAUGACAGCUACGUGUCAUCUGACCAAACCGCUGACAACAACAGAUGUUCCAACAGAGGAACAUCAAGGAGGAGAAGUAUAGGCACACACAUACAACGAAGGAAUCCACAAACACUGAGCUUAUGUGACACACAAUUUCCAGAUUAGAGAAGGAACGGGAACUGCUGGGACACUUGAUAAACACAUAUGAUAAGAAUGUUCAAACAAACAUACGCCAACGAUAUUACAGUAACAGAAUUUGAGGAUUUUGAGUUCAGAGCGUCUAUUCGGUUGCAAUGACCAAUCAUCACCAAGAUAAAACUAAGUAGCAUUAGACACAUUCACGGAGGAACAUUUGGACAGAAGGAGGGGAGAGAAGUCCAC
Gasterosteus aculeatus aculeatus (three-spined stickleback) is the source of this 1072-nucleotide long non-coding RNA. The record is from Ensembl. NCBI's taxonomy places the organism in Eukaryota, Metazoa, Chordata, Actinopteri, Perciformes, Gasterosteidae.